Molecule: ribosomal RNA, 467 nt
Filed under: uncultured bacterium
Lineage: Bacteria
Description: bacterial SSU rRNA
Rfam family: Bacterial small subunit ribosomal RNA
Source: RNAcentral
AGUUUGAUCCUGGCUCAGAACGAACGCUGGCGGCAUGCCUAACACAUGCAAGUCGAACGAAGGCUUCGGCCUUAGUGGCGCACGGGUGCGUAACGCGUGGGAAUCUGCCCUUGGGUUCGGAAUAACAGCGGGAAACUGCUGCUAAUACCGGAUGACGACGAAAGUCCAAAGAUUUAUCGCCUGAGGAUGAGCCCGCGUUGGAUUAGGUAGUUGGUGGGGUAAAGGCCUACCAAGCCGACGAUCCAUAGCUGGUCUGAGAGGAUGAUCAGCCACACUGGGACUGAGACACGGCCCAAACUCCUACGGGAGGCAGCAGUGGGGAAUAUUGGACAAUGGGCGCAAGCCUGAUCCAGCCAUGCCGCGUGAGUGAUGAAGGCCUUAGGGUUGUAAAGCUCUUUCACCGAUGAAGAUAAUGACGGUAGUCGGAGAAGAAGCCCCGGCUAACUUCGUGCCAGCAGCCGCGGUAA